CCGAUUUUUUCCUCCCUCCAAAAACCAAGACCGGUUUUCAUUCAUGCAUCACCAGAACCACACGCCCCAUGCCUAGAAAAACCAAAUGAACCAUUCCAUCCUUCCAUCGAUCCCACCCUUCCAUAUAAAACACUAAUCGUUCCAUCCUUCCCUUCCAUAUACCAGAGGGAUCAAAUCAUAUCGAAUAUUUUUAUAACAAAAAGCUUCCAUAAACACCAAUCUUUCCAUCCUCCCCUCCCACGAUUCUUUCCAUACAGAUGCUCCCUCCCGCAUUCGUUUAUUUCCUUCCAAUUAUACCAGGAUUUUUUUCCAGCUUCUGUUCCUCAAAAAAUUUCUCACGAUCAAGGCCCCUGCCCUUCCUUAUCUACCCACAAAUCUCGUGCCCCUCUCCCAGGUCAGGUUCCGGAGCCGGGUCGUCGCCGCGGAGUACGUCGAUGCGGAGCCGGAGGGCGCGGCGGACCGGUGGGAGAGGUGGAACGGCAACGGCGAGGCCUUCGGCGACGGCUCGGGCGUGUGGCGCCUCACUGUGGGCGACGCGGCGCCGGCGAGCAGGAGCCGGAGACGGAGGAGGUGCAUGAGUCCGACUUCCUGAUCCUCUGCAUCGGCAGUUUCAGCGGCGUGCCCAACAUCCCAGCGGUGUCCCCAGGCCCGGAGGCGUUCCGCGGGCGGGUGCUCCACUGCAUGGAGCUCUCCCACAUGGCCGACGAGGACGCCGCCGCGCUGGUUAAGGGGAAGCGCAUCACCGUCGUGGGGUCCGGCAAGUCAGCCUUCGAGAUCACCGCCGAGUGCGCCGACGCCAAUGGCGCGGGGACGCCGUGCACGAUGCUGUGCCAGAACCCUCAUUGGCUGCUACCAUCGGGUACCUCUACAUGAACCAAAGAACGCAUUUUAUUCUAACUGUUAGUCUGCUAUAUCCACGAGCUCACUGACGCCAGACCAGCAAGCAGCCCAGAUUGAACGGCACUGAGCUCCAAAUUCAACCGAUUAUAUAAUGCGCCACCCCCACAUGAUCCGCUACCAUAUCAAUGAUUGUGUAUCUGUAUUUAUUUAUCUACAAAUCGUUGUACUGUUGUGCUUUUGUUAAGCAGAUACAUGCAUGGCAGGGGAAGUUGAGCGAGCAUGGCAAAGCCAAAGAUAUCUUCCUUGGAGCUACCAUUUAAUUCAUAAGAUGUCAAGUAAUAGCUUGAAGUUUAGGUGAUAAAAAUGCUAAUAUGAUGAUCAGGUCAGGUAUAAUAUCACAGAAAAUGUAAAAAAAAUAUCAUUGGAGUUGUUUUCAUUAUAGUAAUCAGAAUGCUUUGUCUUGCACCAUUAUUUGUUGAACAUCUUUAUUUGUAGGAUGUAGGCUGAGUUUCAGAAGAUGAGAGUUGAAAUGGCUGGAAUGAGAACAAAAAAAAUGGCAGGUUUGAUCGGAUGGAAUUCACACACUUGGAUCGAAGGAUUUGUGAUAUCAUUAGUUGUCACAUUGAAUGGGUAUGAUCUACAAAUUUGAUCUGGGAAUGAAUGGCUAUGUACUGGUUAUGCCGAUAGGAUGAUAAAGGUUCAGUGUAUAGCCUGCAUUCCUGUCUUGCAAGUUUAAGUUGAAUUCAUGUAGUAGUUAUCACAACAUGUAUUGGCACUAUUAAUUUCUUAGAGUCUUGUCUUUACAGGUGUCUGCAAUUUCUGUUGUUUUAUGCAUCUAUUUGUAUGAUGCAAUAUGUUCCAGUUUUGGGAAUCUUGUUGGACUUAGUUGGACAACUACUGUGAUGUUGAUGCACAAAUACCAUAAUUUACUAUUAUCCGAAUUGCUUUAGGAAAGGAAGAAGGUGGAUGGAGCGCCGAGGAACAUGAUAAGGAAGGGGUCAGAUGAGAGAGGAGAGAAGAGUAGGGUGAAGGACGAGAUGGAGGGAAAGAGGGACAAGGACAUGGUGAACGGAGUUUCUUGAGGCGGAGGGUGGGGGCUUCUCGGAGGAGGAGAUGUUGGACUUCUCAUUGUCCUUGCUUGUUGCUGCCUUGCUGGGUAGGGGCCAGUCUGUCCUCAUGAGGUUGUUGUGAAAUUCCUCACCGAGACUUCAGUGAUGCUGGGACAACUCAAGCAUGAAAUGUUAUGGUAGUUUGUUUGGGAAAUUGUAAAUUCUUGUGCAUGUGUGGUAGAGUACAUUGGAAAAUAAGGUCGGGCAGUGGGAGGAUUUGUCAACCAGUUUCAUACUCUUAUUAUAAUUGGGGGUUAGGUUAGCAUUUUGUACAGCAGCUCACGUCUAAAAGAAAAUUUUAAGGUGC
This is a non-coding RNA of Triticum urartu, 2256 nucleotides long. The record is from RefSeq and is a predicted model, not a curated record. Lineage: Eukaryota; Viridiplantae; Streptophyta; Magnoliopsida; Poales; Poaceae.